Molecule: ribosomal RNA, 466 nt
Filed under: uncultured bacterium
Lineage: Bacteria
Description: partial 16S ribosomal RNA
Rfam family: Bacterial small subunit ribosomal RNA
Source: RNAcentral
GAUGAACGCUGGCUGCGGGCUUAACACAUGCAAGUCGAAGGAUGAAGCCCAGGUUGCUGGGUAGCUUAGUUGCGAACGGGUGAGUAACACGGUAGUAACCUGCCCUUAACUCUUGGAUAAGCCGGUGAAACUGGGUCUAAUACCGGAUAGGAGCGUCCACCGCAUGGUGGGUGUUGGAAAGAUUUGUCGGUUUUGGAUGGACUCGCGGCCUGUCAGCUUGUUUGUGAGGUAAUGGCUCACCAAGGCGACGACGGGUAGCCGGCCGGAGAGGGUGACCGGCACCACUGGGACUGACACACGGCAGAGAGCCCUACGGGAGGCAGCAGUGGGGACUAAUGCACAAUGGGCGCAAGCAUGAUGCAGCGACGCCGCGUGAGGGAUGAUGGCCUUCGGGUUGUCAACCUCUUUCAGUCGGGAAGAAGCGAAAGUGAAGGUACCUGAAGAAGAAGCACCGGCUAACUCCGUG